GGCCUUUCGAAAAUGGUUUGAUGAAAGGUCUGACCUGCCCGGUGACCUGAGAUGGUUAAACGGCUAUUAAUUUACUAAGGUAGCGUGGUAAUUUGCCCUUUAAUUGGGGGCUGGUACGAAUGGUUUGACGAUAGAAAUUCUUUAUUUAAAAUAUAGUAGUUGAAGUUUCCGUUUAAGUGAAAAGGCUUAAAUUUUAAUAAAAGACGAGAAGACCCUGUCGAGCUUGAUUAGGGGUGGUAUGUGAUUAUAUUACUCUGAAGUUUAGUUGGGGCAACGGAGAAUGAAAGGAACAUUUUUUAAGUUUAUUAUAUAACGAUCCAUUACAGAGUGAUAAAAAGCAAAAGCUACCGUAGGGAUAACAGAGUAAUCAUUUUUUGAGAGCACGUAUUAAAGAAAAGGUUUACCACCUCGAUGUUGGAUUAAGAAUUCCCUAUGCUUGCAGGAGGUAUAGGAGAAGGACUGUUCGUCCUUUUAUUUCUUACA
This 483-nucleotide ribosomal RNA is filed under the name Polymesoda caroliniana. Its description in RNAcentral is "partial 16S ribosomal RNA". It matches the Rfam family "Bacterial large subunit ribosomal RNA", at positions 1819 to 2600 of the family's 2925-position model. The record is from RNAcentral. Lineage: Eukaryota; Metazoa; Mollusca; Bivalvia; Venerida; Cyrenidae.